This 253-nucleotide ribosomal RNA is filed under the name uncultured bacterium. RNAcentral's name for it is "partial 16S ribosomal RNA". It matches the Rfam family "Bacterial small subunit ribosomal RNA", at positions 524 to 776 of the family's 1533-position model. The record is from RNAcentral.
UACGUAGGGUGCAGGCGUUAAUCGGAAUUACUGGGCGUAAAGCGUGCGCAGGCGGUCUCUUAAGACAGGUGUGAAAUCCCCGGGCUUAACCUGGGAACUGCGCUUGUAACUGAGAGGCUAGAGUGUGGCAGAGGGGGGUGGAAUUCCACGUGUAGCAGUGAAAUGCGUAGAUAUCUGGAGGAACACCGGUGGCGAAGGCGGCAUCCUGGACCGGUAUUGACGCUGAGGCGCGAAAGCCAGGGGAGCAAACGGG